GUCGCGGUAGGAGGUGGGCAGCGCCGCCAUCAGCUUGAGUUCGGCGGCGGCGACCUGGGCGCCGAGGCCGAGUUCGGCGGCCGGCUGCGGCA
This 92-nucleotide transfer RNA is filed under the name Virgisporangium aurantiacum. RNAcentral describes it as "tRNA-Ser". Lineage: Bacteria; Bacillati; Actinomycetota; Actinomycetes; Micromonosporales; Micromonosporaceae. The record is from RNAcentral.